This 482-nucleotide ribosomal RNA is filed under the name uncultured bacterium. Its description in RNAcentral is "partial 16S ribosomal RNA". It matches the Rfam family "Bacterial small subunit ribosomal RNA", at positions 28 to 523 of the family's 1533-position model. The record is from RNAcentral.
GACGAACGCUGGCGGCGUGCUUAACACAUGCAAGUCGAACGAUGAAACCUAGCUUGCUAGGUCGAUUAGUGGCGAACGGGUGAGUAACACGUGACUAACCUGCCCCUUUCUCUGGGAUAACGCUCCGAAAGGAGUGCUAAUACCGGAUACUCACAUCGAGGCACAUGCCUUGAUGUGGAAAGUUUUUCGGAAAGGGAUGGAGUCGCGGCCUAUCAGCUUGUUGGUGAGGUAACGGCUCACCAAGGCGUCGACGGGUAGCCGGCCUGAGAGGGCGACCGGCCACACUGGGACUGAGACACGGCCCAGACUCGUACGGGAGGCAGCAGUGGGGAAUAUUGCACCAUGGGCGCAAGCCUGAUGCAGCUACGCCGCGUGAGGGAUGGAGGUCUUCGGAUUGUAAACCUCUUUCAGUAGGGACGAAGCGAAAGUGACGGUACCUAAAGAAGAAGCACCGGCUAACUACGUGCCAGCCGCCGCGGUAA